Long non-coding RNA from Mauremys reevesii (Reeves's turtle), 630 nucleotides. RefSeq lists it as uncharacterized. Lineage: Eukaryota; Metazoa; Chordata; Testudines; Geoemydidae. The record is from RefSeq and is a predicted model, not a curated record. The transcript has 5 exons.
AGUCAACAAGAAGGGAAGAACAGCAGGAAGCCUCCCUGCCUCUUAUAACAGGUCAAUGAACUUUGGGAGAUAUAAGGAGACACAGAAAACCAUUUUGGUAUCCAUCACUUCAGAUAUUAAAGGGGCCAGAGCUUUUGAAAUCACAGAAUAUUGGAUCCUUCAACUAAGCGGGGUUCAACUGAGUUUAGGUUCAAUCCUGAAGUGAUCGCUCAGCUCAAACAGCUAUUGAUGCCAGUGGAACUGCAGCCCUGUUCUUAGACAUUGCAACACAUGUUAAGAGAGCUGGGCCCACAGGAGAAUCAUGACACUCUGCUACAUGAAGAUAUAAAGUUAUGCACGUGCACAUGGAGGCUAAGCUGAGAUGAUGGAAAAUGAGGUCCAAAAUCUUCAAGCAACCUUUAAUAAAUUCUUGUGUCUUCACCAGCAUGGGCACAGCUUUUGGAACACAACCUGUUUAACUGCUGCAAGGCAACACAGGGAACAUAUCAUGCCAUUGCCAUGCUGCACCAUUUAUACAAAGUAUAACUGAAGAUACAGAAGCCUGGCUUACGCCCAACCCUUACAUGCUGGAAGCUGCUACCCAUAUAUGCCAAGGUCUAGAAGCUGAAGGAAGACAAGCUUGGAAUAGAA